GAUGAACGCUAGCGGCAGGCUUAACACAUGCAAGUCGAGGGGUAACAGGGAGAAGCUUGCUUUUCCGCUGACGACCGGCGCACGGGUGCGUAACGCGUAUAGAACCUACCUUUUACAGGAGAAUACCCCAGAGAAAUUUGGAAUAAUGCUCCAUAGUAUUAUUAGAUGGCAUCAUUUAGUAAUUAAACAUUUAUGGGUAAAAGAUGGCUAUGCGUUCUAUUAGCUAGAUGGUAAGGUAACGGCUUACCAUGGCAACGAUAGAUAGGGGUCCUGAGAGGGAGAUCCCCCACACUGGUACUGAGACACGGACCAGACUCCUACGGGAGGCAGCAGUGAGGAAUAUUGGACAAUGGAGGCAACUCUGAUCCAGCCAUGCCGCGUGCAGGAAGACGGCCCUAUGGGUUGUAAACUGCUUUUAUAUAGGAAGAAACCUUUCCACGUGUGGAAAGCUGACGGUACUGUAUGAAUAAGCACCGGCUAACUCCGUGCCAGCAGCCGCGGUAAUACGGAGGGUGCAAGCGUUAUCCGGAAUCAUUGGGUUUAAAGGGUCCGUAGGCGGACUAAUAAGUCAGGGGUGAAAUACCACAGCUCAACUGUGGAACUGCCUUUGAUACUGUUAGUCUUGAAUUAUAUGGAAGUAGAUAGAAUGUGUAGUGUAGCGGUGAAAUGCUUAGAGAUUACACAGAAUACCGAUUGCGAAGGCAGUCUACUACGUAUAUAUG
Molecule: ribosomal RNA, 722 nt
Filed under: Lutibacter sp.
Lineage: Bacteria; Pseudomonadati; Bacteroidota; Flavobacteriia; Flavobacteriales; Flavobacteriaceae
Description: bacterial SSU rRNA
Rfam family: Bacterial small subunit ribosomal RNA
Source: RNAcentral